UAAAUCUCUUUUCUUUAUAAAUUACCCAGCCUCAGGUUUUCCUUUGUAGCAAGAAAACAGACGGAUACAGGCCACUGUGCCAGCUGGCUGGGCAAUCAGUUGAUCCAGUUGAAAGCAGGUGCACGGAUGGAGAAUGGGUCGAGGCCUGAGAAGAGAGAGGGCCCCGCCACUUACACAGCAGAAAACUCAAGAGACCCUCUGGGCAGAAGUGAGAAAGAACUGUCCGCCAUGAGACCUGAGACCACCUACACACCCAUGCAGGAGGCCGCAGCGGAUUCCGAGGGCUCAGCCUGGUACCUGGCACAUCACAGGAACUGUGCAAAUGCUCACUGAACUGAAUUCAAUCUGUGGGUUCUCCAGAGCAACUGACCUCAAGUUGUAGGGGCCAGACCUGGAUGUGGCUUCAUUUGGUGGCUCCAUGACCUUGGGCUAAUCCCAAGAUCUGAGCCUCAGUUUCCUCAUCUGUGCAAUGGGGAUAAUCACAUGAUUUGCAAAUUAGAUGACGCUGUGGGCUUGCUUGAAGGCCCGGUAAACAGCGAAGGCUGCCCACCUGGGCCCUGGGAGGCCACACAAGCUGACUUCAUGCUCCCACUGUUUUCGGGGUAAAGGAAGCUUUUAUUCCCAUGACUUCAUCGGCAAAGGUCCUUCCUCUGGAGGAAGAGAGGAGAGUGGGAACAGCUUAGCUGCAUGAGGCUGCUGGGAAGCCAGGCCCAGGCCGUGACAUGAGGGCCCAAGAAUGAGGAUUAGAUUUCAGCCAGGCGUGAAGGCGCGUGGGGGAGGCGCCUCCUGCUCCAAUGAUCCCCAUUCUGUGGCCGCUCAUUCAGCCCUUCCACCCUGGGACACACUGACCCGCCCGAUGCCGGCCCCACUUCUGACCCGUGGGCUGCCUCUGCAGGGAAGGCCCCCAUUUCUGGUGCUCCUUGAUCUGUGUGAUUCUUUGCUAAGCUCCGCCUUCCUCUGAGUGAAAGCCGCUUUGAAAUGUGACCACAGGCCAUGCAGGGACCCCACCUGAAGCCCCCGGCCUCUCUGCUGUCCGCCCCCAGCCCAGGCGGUGCCGCCCCCUCGUGACAGCGUUACGGGAGGCUGCCCCGGCACCAGAACCGAUUUGAUUUGGGCCCUCUGGCGGGGCCUAUGACAUCACUAGGAUUGUUCAUUGUUUGGGAAAAUAACUUUUUCACAUGGCAA
Molecule: non-coding RNA, 1185 nt
Organism: Saimiri boliviensis boliviensis (Bolivian squirrel monkey)
Lineage: Eukaryota; Metazoa; Chordata; Mammalia; Primates; Cebidae
Source: RefSeq, a predicted model, not a curated record